RNAcentral lists this ribosomal RNA (429 nucleotides) under Chloroflexota bacterium. RNAcentral's name for it is "Chloroflexi bacterium partial 16S ribosomal RNA". It matches the Rfam family "Bacterial small subunit ribosomal RNA", at positions 355 to 776 of the family's 1533-position model. Lineage: Bacteria; Bacillati; Chloroflexota. The record is from RNAcentral.
UGGGGAAUAGUGCACAAUGGGCGCAAGCCUGAUGCAGCCAUGCCGCGUGUGUGAAGAAGGCCUUCGGGUUGUAAAGCACUUUCAGCGGGGAGGAAGGCGAUAAGGUUAAUAACCUUGUCGAUUGACGUUACCCGCAGAAGAAGCACCGGCUAACUCCGUGCCAGCAGCCGCGGUAAUACGGAGGGUGCAAGCGUUAAUCGGAAUUACUGGGCGUAAAGCGCACGCAGGCGGUCUGUCAAGUCGGAUGUGAAAUCCCCGGGCUUAACCUGGGAACUGCAUUCGAAACUGGCAGGCUAGAGUCUUGUAGAGGGGGGUAGAAUUCCAGGUGUAGCGGUGAAAUGCGUAGAGAUCUGGAGGAAUACCGGUGGCGAAGGCGGCCCCCUGGACAAAGACUGACGCUCAGGUGCGAAAGCGUGGGGAGCAAACAGG